GAUGAACGCUGGCGGCGUGCCUAAUACAUGCAAGUCGAGCGAACGGACGAGAAGCUUGCUUCUCUGAUGUUAGCGGCGGACGGGUGAGUAACACGUGGAUAACCUACCUAUAAGACUGGGAUAACUUCGGGAAACCGGAGCUAAUACCGGAUAAUAUUUUGAACCGCAUGGUUCAAAAGUGAAAGACGGUCUUGCUGUCACUUAUAGAUGGAUCCGCGCUGCAUUAGCUAGUUGGUAAGGUAACGGCUUACCAAGGCAACGAUGCAUAGCCGACCUGAGAGGGUGAUCGACCACACUGGAACUGAGACACGGUCCAGACUCCUACGGGAGGCAGCAGUAGGGAAUCUUCCGCAAUGGGCGAAAGCCUGACGGAGCAACGCCGCGUGAGUGAUGAAGGUCUUCGGAUCGUAAAACUCUGUUAUUAGGGAAGAACAUAUGUGUAAGUAACUGUGCACAUCUUGACGGUACCUAAUCAGAAAGCCACGGCUAACUACGUG
This 497-nucleotide ribosomal RNA is filed under the name uncultured bacterium. RNAcentral's name for it is "partial 16S ribosomal RNA". It matches the Rfam family "Bacterial small subunit ribosomal RNA", at positions 28 to 507 of the family's 1533-position model. The record is from RNAcentral.